Molecule: ribosomal RNA, 434 nt
Filed under: uncultured Clostridiales Family XIV bacterium
Lineage: Bacteria; Bacillati; Bacillota; Clostridia; Eubacteriales; Clostridiales Family XIV. Incertae Sedis
Description: bacterial SSU rRNA
Rfam family: Bacterial small subunit ribosomal RNA
Source: RNAcentral
ACGGAAGGCAGCAGUGGGGAAUAUUGGACAAUGGAGGCAACUCUGAUCCAGCGACGCCGCGUGAGUGAAGAAGUAUUUCGGUAUGUAAAGCUCUAUCAGCAGGGAAGAUGAUGACGGUACCUGACUAAGAAGCCCCGGCUAACUACGUGCCAGCAGCCGCGGUAAUACGUAGGGGGCAAGCGUUAUCCGGAUUUACUGGGUGUAAAGGGAGCGUAGACGGCUUUGCAAGUCUGAAGUGAAAGCCCGGGGCUCAACCCCGGAACUGCUUUGGAAACUGUAGAGCUAGAGUGCAGGAGAGGUAAGUGGAAUUCCUAGUGUAGCGGUGAAAUGCGUAGAUAUUAGGAGGAACACCAGUGGCGAAGGCGGCUUACUGGACUGUAACUGACGUUGAGGCUCGAAGGCGUGGGGAGCAAACAGGAUUAGAUACCCUGGUA